RNAcentral lists this ribosomal RNA (494 nucleotides) under uncultured bacterium. RNAcentral's name for it is "partial 16S ribosomal RNA". It matches the Rfam family "Bacterial small subunit ribosomal RNA", at positions 28 to 507 of the family's 1533-position model. The record is from RNAcentral.
GACGAACGCUGGCGGCGUGCUUAACACAUGCAAGUCGAACGGAAAGGCCUGCUUUCCCUUGUGGAUUGCGGGUACUCGAGUGGCGAACGGGUGAGUAACACGUGAGUGAUCUGCCCCCAACUUGGGUAUAAGCCUGGGAAACUGGGUCUAAUUCCCGAUAGGACUGCAGGGUGGUGCCUGUGGUGGAAAACGAUUUUCUAGUGGUUGGGGAUGAGCUCGCGGCCUAUCAGCUUGUUGGUUGGGUAAUGGCCUACCAAGGCGGCGACGGGUAGCCGGCCUGAGAGGGUGGGCGGCCACAUUGGAACUGAGAUACGGCCCAGACGCCUACGGGAGGCAGCAGUGGGGAGUAAUGAACAAUGGGCGGAAGCCUGAUGCAGCGACGCCGCGUGGGGGAUGACGGCCUUCGGGUUGUAAACUCCUUUCGACCGCGAGGAAGCCACCUGGUUGGAAGGGUGGUGACGGUAGUGGUAGAAGAAGCACCGGCUAACUACGUG